AAUCAAAAUUUUUAUACAUUUUCAUUGAAACAGAAAUGUUUCAAUUUUUCAUUUUUGAAUACUAUACUGUAAAGAGAUUAAUAUUUAUUCUUUUUAGAAUACGAAAUAUUGUAACAUAUGGACCACUUAGAUGAAAUUAUAUAAUUGACAUAAUUAGAUGCUAAUGGCAUUGAUGUAAGUUAGUUGUCUAUUAUUAAAUUUCUAUCAAAAUUGUAGAUAAGAAUAGAUAUUUCUUUUAUAAAAAGAUUUGAAUAGAUGAAUAUUAAUUAUUUCUUUUUUCCCUAAGAAUAUUAUCUAUUAUAAAAUCUUUACAGCCCUUCACUGUAGGAUUUCUAUCCAGACCGACAAUGAUUCUACUGUUUUUGAUAUAAAAAGGUUUGAGAUUGACUCUUGGCUGAAACUGUCGUCACGAAUCACUACGAUGAUUUUCUUCUCCUAUAUUUUGACUCUGACUCAUAUUCAGAUAUCUGAGUUACAGUCGAACUGAAUUAAAUUGGAGAGGAACAGGCCGGCGCUUUUCGUUUCGCAGUCUUCAUAAAGUUGUUGCAGAAAGAUUAUAGUUCCUAUUUCUUUUUUAUUAAUAUGGUUUUGAUCAUGAUUGAUAGAAAGGACUUAAAUCUAAUUCACUUAUAAAGUCACUUUGUUUUAUUUUUUUUUUUUUGGACACUUUUCAAGAAAUAUCAUAUUCUAUGAAACAUGGCUUCUCUGGGCUUCUAUUAAUAUAAAGAGCCAAAACAUCUGUGUCAUUCAGAAGAACGUACUAUAGCUGCAAUCCAUUUACUUAUACUUAAAAUUGGAAAGAUUGCGCCAAUGUAAACUUUCUCUUCCAACUUGUUGGCGACAGAUCUGGCUCACACUUUGGAUCAUACGCUGGUAAGUUCUGACAGAAAUAUUUUCCCGGACAUAUAUAUAUGUAAGUAAACAUAAUCCAUAAACAAAGUAUAUGGAAUAAUAAUCUAUCAGCAUCAUUAUCGUUACAUAGGAGAUUUUACGAUAUUUCUGAUAAUUUGGCUAUCAAGUCACUUGCUCAUACUAGGAUUCUAUACAUAAAGCUAUACUCCGCACAAUUUCUAUAUAGAGGCGGCAAAUUUUUUUAUUGGAUUCACUUAGAUUGGACAACUAAGUGAAUUUGCUUUUUCCAACUGAGGUAAUUUUUUUCAAUUAAAUCGAAAUGGAUCUUGAAGAUUGGCCAAAAGGAGAAUGAAAUAUCUUAUCUUAUUUCUGAAUGCAUCUUUCUUAAACAUAAUCAAGAUGGAUGUGAAAUAUCAAAUAAAGCUAAGCUUUGGUCUUAUGUGGAAUCAUUUUCAACAAAUAAUAAAGGCCAUGGAGAAUAUAAGAAAAGUACUUCUGUAAAGUGAAUAAUUCUUUUUUUUCCCUAUUUUUGGCUGGUCACCAGUGUAUCAUCAAUAUGUUACGUUAAGUAUGUAGGAUGGUUUGCAAUAUAUUAUGUUCCAUAAUAAAUCCAACAUUGACUCUCUAUGAGACAUAAUAUAUCAGCUUUUAUGUAUUUUAAGUGAAGAAAUUUUAUAUAUUUUAUAUAUUUUAUGUAUUUGUCUCAGAAAUAAUCUUUCACUAUUUAUUUCAUAUAGGUAGACACUUAAUGUACUUUCCUUAUUACUAUUCAGAAUAAGAAAUUAAAUGUAUUGACAAUAUUCAAUAAUGCUACCACUGCAAUCUCAUCUGGGAUACAGUCAAGAAAACUCUAAUAUAUUUGAUGGUAUCGAUCAUAAAGCGAUUUACUUGUAUUGACCCUCAGCCAAGUUGGAAUCUUGUUGGAACAAUUAAAAGAUUCGGGACUCCUUGAAUUUAAAAUAUGCGUCGAAUAAUUGAUGCAACUAAG
RNAcentral lists this long non-coding RNA (1840 nucleotides) under Apis florea (little honeybee). RNAcentral describes it as "uncharacterized LOC116415204, transcript variant X2". The record is from RNAcentral. Lineage: Eukaryota; Metazoa; Arthropoda; Insecta; Hymenoptera; Apidae.